RNAcentral lists this ribosomal RNA (253 nucleotides) under uncultured bacterium. Its description in RNAcentral is "partial 16S ribosomal RNA". It matches the Rfam family "Bacterial small subunit ribosomal RNA", at positions 524 to 776 of the family's 1533-position model. The record is from RNAcentral.
UACGGGGGGGGUAAGCGUUGUUCGGAAUUACUGGGCGUAAAGGGCUCGUAGGCGGCCAACUAAGUCAUACGUGAAAUCCCUCAGCUUAACUGGGGAACUGCGUGUGAUACUGGAUGGCUUGGAUUUGGGAGAGGGAUGCGGAAUUCCAGGUGUAGCGGUGAAAUGCGUAGAGAUGUGGAGGAACACCAGUGGCGAAGGCGACUCUUUGGCCUGUAACUGACGCUGAGGCGCGAAAGCGUGGGGAGCAAACAGG